GGACUUGAGGUGUGCUGGACUUUCAUUAGUUCGGCUCCCUUUUAAAUGCAUCAGCGGAGCCACUCGCUUCCGGCUAACAUCGACGUGAUAAUCAUCUUACGUCGUUGUCUACCGGUCCCAGAGUCCGCUUAUAAUGGUCUUCGGAUAACACAUAAUGACAAUUUGACCUCAAAUCAGGUAGGACUACCCGCUGAACUUAA
RNAcentral lists this unclassified non-coding RNA (200 nucleotides) under soil metagenome. RNAcentral describes it as "partial contains internal transcribed spacer 2 and large subunit ribosomal RNA". The record is from RNAcentral.